Molecule: transfer RNA, 81 nt
Filed under: Fucus vesiculosus
Lineage: Eukaryota; Phaeophyceae; Fucales; Fucaceae
Description: tRNA-Leu
Rfam family: tRNA
About the family: Transfer RNA (tRNA) molecules are approximately 80 nucleotides in length. Their secondary structure includes four short double-helical elements and three loops (D, anti-codon, and T loops).
Source: RNAcentral
GCGACUUUGGUGAAAUUGGUAGACACGUCAGACUUAAAAUCUGUUUCUUUUGAGAGUAUCGGUUCAAGUCCGAUAAGUCGU